GAUGAACGCUGGCGGCGUGCUUAACACAUGCAAGUCGAACGAAGAUAUUUAGAAUGAGAGCUUCGGCAGGAUUUCUUUACAUCUUAGUGGCGGACGGGUGAGUAACGUGUGGGCAACCUGCCCUGUACUGGGGAAUAAUCAUUGGAAACGGCUGCUAAUACCGCAUAAGCGCACAGAGCUGCAUGGCUCAGUGUGAAAAACUCCGGUGGUAUAAGAUGGACCCGCGUUGGAUUAGCUAGUUGGUGGGUAACGGCCCACCAAGGCGACGAUCCAUAGCCGGCCUGAGAGGGUGAACGGCCACAUUGGGACUGAGACACGGCCCAG
Molecule: ribosomal RNA, 324 nt
Filed under: uncultured bacterium
Lineage: Bacteria
Description: bacterial SSU rRNA
Rfam family: Bacterial small subunit ribosomal RNA
Source: RNAcentral